This is a non-coding RNA of Paramuricea clavata, 197 nucleotides long. The record is from the annotation of a GenBank genome assembly. Lineage: Eukaryota; Metazoa; Cnidaria; Anthozoa; Malacalcyonacea; Plexauridae.
AGUGUGAGCAACUGGAUUGGUGCUUCCCCCUUUCUUAUAGUCCAAUCAAAGGAUUUGUUUACAUUUGUUUACAUUUGUAAACAAAGCCUCUGAUUGGACUAUAAGAAAGGGGGAAGCACCAAUCCAGUUGCUCACACUAUUUGAUUGGCUUCCCUUUUUCUUAUAAUCCAAUCAGAGACUUUGUUUACAAAUCUUUU